AGCGAACGCUGGCGGCAGGCCUAACACAUGCAAGUCGAACGAACCUUUCGGGGUUAGUGGCGGACGGGUGAGUAACACGUGGGAACGUGCCUUUAGGUUCGGAAUAACUCAGGGAAACUUGUGCUAAUACCGAAUGUGCCCUUCGGGGGAAAGAUUUAUCGCCUUUAGAGCGGCCCGCGUCUGAUUAGCUAGUUGGUUGAGGUAAUGGCUCACCAAGGCGACGAUCAGUAGCUGGUCUGAGAGGAUGAUCAGCCACAUUGGGACUGAGAUACGGCCCAAACUCCUACGGGAGGCAGCAGUGGGGAAUCUUGCGCAAUGGGCGAAAGCCUGACGCAGCCAUGCCGCGCGAAUGAUGAAGGUCUUAGGAUUGUAAAAUUCUUUCACCGGGGACGAUAAUGACGGUACCCGGAGAAGAAGCCCCGGCUAACUUCGUG
Molecule: ribosomal RNA, 434 nt
Filed under: uncultured bacterium
Lineage: Bacteria
Description: partial 16S ribosomal RNA
Rfam family: Bacterial small subunit ribosomal RNA
Source: RNAcentral